This 449-nucleotide ribosomal RNA is filed under the name uncultured bacterium. RNAcentral describes it as "partial 16S ribosomal RNA". It matches the Rfam family "Bacterial small subunit ribosomal RNA", at positions 355 to 796 of the family's 1533-position model. The record is from RNAcentral.
GUGGGAAUAUUGGACAAUGGGCGAAAGCCUGAUCCAGCCAUGCCGCGUGUGUGAAGAAGGUCUUCGGAUUGUAAAGCACUUUAAGUUGGGAGGAAGGGCAGUAAGUUAAUACCUUGCUGUUUUGACGUUACCGACAGAAUAAGCACCGGCUAACUUCGUGCCAGCAGCCGCGGUAAUACGAAGGGUGCAAGCGUUAAUCGGAAUUACUGGGCGUAAAGCGCGCGUAGGUGGUUUUGUAAGUUGGAGGUGAAAUCCCCGGGCUCAACCUGGGAACUGCCUCCAAAACUGCAUGACUAGAGUACGGUAGAGGGUAGUGGAAUUUCCUGUGUAGCGGUGAAAUGCGUAGAUAUAGGAAGGAACACCAGUGGCGAAGGCGACUACCUGGACUGAUACUGACACUGAGGUGCGAAAGCGUGGGGAGCAAACAGGAUUAGAAACCCGUGUAGUCC